Molecule: ribosomal RNA, 775 nt
Filed under: uncultured Neocallimastigales
Lineage: Eukaryota; Fungi; Neocallimastigomycota; Neocallimastigomycetes; Neocallimastigales
Description: partial large subunit ribosomal RNA
Rfam family: Eukaryotic large subunit ribosomal RNA
Source: RNAcentral
UAUGUGAUCGUCUCUCGCAUAUCAAUAAGCGGAGGAAAAGAAACUAACAAGGAUUCCCCUAGUAACGGCGAGUGAAGCGGGAAGAGCUCAAAUUUGAAAUCUUAAAGGGUUUCCCUUUACGAAUUGUAGUUUAAAGAAGUGUUUUCUGUUGAGGUUUUUGGUAAAAGUUCUUUGGAACAGGACAUCAUAGAGGGUGAGAAUCCCGUAUUUGACCUUUACUUUCAACUUUGUGAUACACUUUCAAAGAGUCGGAUUGUUUGGGAAUGCAGUCCAAAAUGGGUGGUAAAUUUCAUCUAAAGCUAAAUAUUGGCGAGAGACCGAUAGCGAACAAGUACCGUGAGGGAAAGAUGAAAAGAACUUUGAAAAGAGAGUUAAACAGUACGUGAAAUUGUCAAAAGGGAAGCGUUUGACACCAGUGUUGUUUUUCUGAAAAUCAAUUAAAGAACUGUUUAUGCUAAGUUGUUUAGACUUUAUCAGCUAACUGUUUAGUUUUGAGCUUUUCUUUAAUGCACUUUUCAGUUAACAAGUCAACAUCAAUUUCUUUUGCUGUAAAAAAGCUUGAGGAAGGUGGCUUGAGAUUCGUCUUAAGUGUUUAUAGCCUCUUGCCUAUGCAGUCGGAGAGAUUGAGGUCUGCAGCGUAGAUCCUUCGGGGCUAAAUGCAUUUGUGCUAAGUUAUAGCAUUUUAUAGACAACUUGUUGACUAUGAUUUGUCUUGUAGCUUACUCGCUUAUGUUAUUUUACCUACGCUUAGGAUGUUGAGUCAUCACACAUCUCU